GCCUGGGUGGCUCAGUCGGUUGAGCAUCUGACUUCAGCUCAGGUCACGAUCUCGCGGUCCGUGAGUUCGAGCCCCGCGUCGGGCU
Felis catus (domestic cat) is the source of this 85-nucleotide transfer RNA. It matches the Rfam family "tRNA". Rfam says of the family: Transfer RNA (tRNA) molecules are approximately 80 nucleotides in length. Their secondary structure includes four short double-helical elements and three loops (D, anti-codon, and T loops). Further hydrogen bonds mediate the characteristic L-shaped molecular structure. tRNAs have two regions of fundamental functional importance: the anti-codon, which is responsible for specific mRNA codon recognition, and the 3' end, to which the tRNAs corresponding amino acid is attached (by aminoacyl-tRNA synthetases). tRNAs cope with the degeneracy of the genetic code in two manners: having more than one tRNA (with a specific anti-codon) for a particular amino acid; and 'wobble' base-pairing, i.e. permitting non-standard base-pairing at the 3rd anti-codon position. NCBI's taxonomy places the organism in Eukaryota, Metazoa, Chordata, Mammalia, Carnivora, Felidae. The record is from Rfam.